RNAcentral lists this long non-coding RNA (424 nucleotides) under Mytilus galloprovincialis (Mediterranean mussel). The record is from RNAcentral. Lineage: Eukaryota; Metazoa; Mollusca; Bivalvia; Mytilida; Mytilidae.
GUUUUUUUCCAUUUUGUCAAAAUAAGUCAAGAAAAAUCUCUGAUAUACUAUUCACUUGCAGGUGAAUAAUUCUACCUUAGUGAAUCCUUAUUCAUUUGACCUUCAAGUUAACCCUAGAUAUGGGAUACGCAUGCAUUGUGCGUGUUCGGUUAUUAAAAGGAAAAGCAUGUCAAUAUUGGUAGUGAAACCAGGGCAAAAUAUUUGAUUGGCCGAUUAUCCACAUAGACAUACAUUUAAACUUGUAAUAUAAAAUUAAAAAAAGAAACAGAAAAACCCAAUUGCACGAGUUCGCUAUUUGUUCAUACCUAUAUUUUUGUUUGAACGGGUUAUAUAACUGAUGGAAGGCUUCGAAGGUCACCUCGAUGGUAAAUUAGAUGGUGACUAGACUAAAUUACACACGAAAUGCACAUACAUAUAACGAGCC